This is a long non-coding RNA of Oncorhynchus tshawytscha (Chinook salmon), 397 nucleotides long. Lineage: Eukaryota; Metazoa; Chordata; Actinopteri; Salmoniformes; Salmonidae. The record is from Ensembl.
CCAGGACAGUGUACAACAGAAGGUCCUCCACACCAGGACAGUGUACAACAGAAGGUCCUCCACACCAGGACAGUGUACAACAGAAGGUCCUCCACACCAGGGCAGUGUUAAACAGAAGGUCAUCCACACCAGGACAGUGUUAAACAGAAGGACCUCUACACCAGGGCAGUGUAAAACAGAAGGACCUCCACACCAGGGCAGUGUUAAACAGAAGGACCUCCACACCAGGACAGUGUACAACAGAAGGUCCUCCACACCAGGACAGUGUACAACAGAAGGUCCUCCACACCAGGACAGUGUACAACAGAAGGUCCUCCACACCAGGGCAGUGUAAAACAGAAGGUCCUCCACACCAGGGCAGUGUGAAACAGAAGGACCUCCACACCAGAACAGUGUA